UACGUAGGUGGCAAGCGUUAUCCGGAAUUAUUGGGCGUAAAGAGCGCGCAGGUGGUUGAUUAAGUCUGAUGUGAAAGCCCACGGCUUAACCGUGGAGGGUCAUUGGAAACUGGUCGACUUGAGUGCAGAAGAGGGAAGUGGAAUUCCAUGUGUAGCGGUGAAAUGCGUAGAGAUAUGGAGGAACACCAGUGGCGAGGGCGGCUUCCUGGUCUGUAACUGACACUGAGGCUCGAAAGCGUAGGGAGCAAACAGGAUUAGAUA
RNAcentral lists this ribosomal RNA (261 nucleotides) under uncultured prokaryote. RNAcentral describes it as "partial 16S ribosomal RNA". It matches the Rfam family "Bacterial small subunit ribosomal RNA", at positions 524 to 784 of the family's 1533-position model. The record is from RNAcentral.